GUAGGUGGCAAGCGUUGUCCGGAAUUAUUGGGCGUAAAGCGCGCGCAGGCGGUUCUUUAAGUCUGAUGUGAAAGCCCACGGCUCAACCGUGGGGGGUCAUUGGAAACUGGAGAACUUGAGUACAGAAGAGGAAAGCGGAAUUCCACGUGUAGCGGUGAAAUGCGUAGAGAUGUGGAGGAACACCAGUGGCGAAGGCGGCCUUCUGGUCUGUAACUGACGCUGAGGCGCGAAAGCGUGGGGAGCAAACAGGGAUUAGAUACCCUGGUAGUCCACGCCGUAAACGAUGAGUGCUAAGUGUUAGGGGGUUUCCGCCCCCUUAGUGCUGCAGCUAACGCAUUAAGCACUCCGCCUGGGGAUACGGCCGCAAGGCUG
This 372-nucleotide ribosomal RNA is filed under the name uncultured organism. RNAcentral describes it as "partial 16S ribosomal RNA". It matches the Rfam family "Bacterial small subunit ribosomal RNA", at positions 527 to 896 of the family's 1533-position model. The record is from RNAcentral.